RNAcentral lists this unclassified non-coding RNA (524 nucleotides) under Hevea brasiliensis (rubber tree). Lineage: Eukaryota; Viridiplantae; Streptophyta; Magnoliopsida; Malpighiales; Euphorbiaceae. The record is from RNAcentral.
CCCGACGAGGGUCCCAUAAGUCCACAGCACUAGACAAUUUCGGCAAGAUUACGUUAUCUAAUAUGCUCUGGAUAACUGAUGCAGGCAACAACUUUUCCCAUGACUCCAAAAAUCUAAGCAUCGGUUCAGGGUCCCUAGGUUCCCAAGUAUUUAUACCAGCUAUUCUUACAGCAGGUAAAACUACUUCAGAUACUAAUUGCGUAUAUGGUGUGGCUACAUCCCAAAUAUCAUUACUUUCCUCACCUUGCAGAACAUUCUUCCACAAUUCCACAAGUUCCAGUCCAUGCAAUUGAUUCCUGAGAGGAUCCCAUCCCUGAAAUACUCUAAUAAACAAAGGAAAAGCAAAUGAACAAGCAAUGCUAGACAAGUUGCAAAGCUUGUAAUCAUCUGCAAAUUUCCUUCGUAGGCCAGCAAAACACUUUNUUUGCUAACAAAUCCAAGGUCAAGGUUCCAGAGGAAUUCUGUUCCUCAAUAUAGCUCAACAUGCUCAUGAUUUCCUCCAUGUUAUCCAAUUGUUUCUUCUG